UGUACCAGUGAGUAAGAAUGUGUCAUCACUAAAGGACCACAGCAGGGGAGACUCUGACACAAAUGUUGACAAUGAAUCUCGACCACUCCAAACAUCCACACCAGGUACUGAGAAUCCCCCUGAUUCCAAAUUAAGUGGCCCCUUCUUUGGUUACUGCAAGCUUACACGUACAGCCAUUGUUUGAAUGGCAGUUGCUAGAGCAGUAAAGCCUUACACAGUUCCACUAUGAAGUAUGCUGUCACGAUUAUCAGAUAAAUGAAACAUGAAGUGUUUAUAAUGUUUAAUGUGUAGAGCAUUCGAUUUCAUUCCAAAGGGGUGUAUAUAAAAUAAUAUCCUUAUGGUAUAAAUAAC
This is a long non-coding RNA of Haliotis rubra (blacklip abalone), 351 nucleotides long. RefSeq lists it as uncharacterized. The transcript is spliced from 2 exons. NCBI's taxonomy places the organism in Eukaryota, Metazoa, Mollusca, Gastropoda, Lepetellida, Haliotidae. The record is from RefSeq and is a predicted model, not a curated record.